Molecule: ribosomal RNA, 120 nt
Filed under: uncultured bacterium
Lineage: Bacteria
Description: partial 16S ribosomal RNA
Rfam family: Bacterial small subunit ribosomal RNA
Source: RNAcentral
GACGAACGCUGGCGGCGUGCCUAACACAUGCAAGUCGAGCGGGGUCCAUCCAGUGGCAACACUGGUGAAGACCUAGCGGCGAACGGGUGAGUAACACGUGAGAAACCUGCCCUGAAGUCU